This 254-nucleotide ribosomal RNA is filed under the name uncultured bacterium. Its description in RNAcentral is "partial 16S ribosomal RNA". It matches the Rfam family "Bacterial small subunit ribosomal RNA", at positions 524 to 776 of the family's 1533-position model. The record is from RNAcentral.
UACGGAGGGAGCUAGCGUUGUUCGGAAUUACUGGGCGUAAAGCGCACGUAGGCGGCUUUGUAAGUUAGAGGUGAAAGCCCGGGGCUCAACUCCAGAAUUGCCUUUAAGACUGCAUCGCUUGAAUCGCGGAGAGGUGAGUGGAAUUUCCGAGUGUAGAGGUGAAAUUCGUAGAUAUUCGGAAGAACACCAGUGGCGAAGGCGGCUCACUGGACGCGUAUUGACGCUGAGGUGCGAAAGCGUGGGGAGCGAACAGG